Xiphophorus hellerii (green swordtail) is the source of this 254-nucleotide long non-coding RNA. RefSeq lists it as uncharacterized. The record is from RefSeq and is a predicted model, not a curated record. Lineage: Eukaryota; Metazoa; Chordata; Actinopteri; Cyprinodontiformes; Poeciliidae. The transcript is spliced from 3 exons.
GGUGUUCUGUUUAUCUGUGCUACCCGUAAAUCCGUCCUACCUUGUGGUAAAUCGCACAUCGAUGCUACGUCACAUACUGCUUACUCAGCAAAUUUCUUAUAAAUACGUCCUACAUGUGAAAGUUUUGUUUCAUGUGUUUUAUUUCAUUGAAGAUUACGGUUAGCUUUAUUUAAUUUAUUUUAUACCUGGCUUUCAUUAAGCUGCUCUAUUACUUAAUGUUUUUACUUUACAUGACAGGCAGCUUAUAAAUUUAG